This 375-nucleotide ribosomal RNA is filed under the name uncultured bacterium. RNAcentral's name for it is "bacterial SSU rRNA". It matches the Rfam family "Bacterial small subunit ribosomal RNA", at positions 524 to 898 of the family's 1533-position model. The record is from RNAcentral.
UACAGAGGGUGCGAGCGUUAAUCGGAAUUACUGGGCGUAAAGCGCACGUAGAUGGCUUCGUAAGUCGGAUGUGAAAUCCCCGGGCUCAACCUGGGAACUGCAUUCGAAACUGCGUUGCUGGAAUGUGGAAGAGGGAAGCGGAAUUCCAGGUGUAGCGGUGAAAUGCGUAGAUAUCUGGAGGAACAUCAGUGGCGAAAGCGGCUUCCUGGUCCAACAUUGACAUUCAGGUGCGAAAGCGUGGGGAGCAAACAGGAUUAGAUACCCUGGUAGUCCACGCCAUAAACGAUGCGAACUAGAUGUCGAGAGGGUUAGCCUCCCGGUGUCGCAGCUAACGCGGUAAGUUCGCCGCCUGGGGAGUACGGCCGCAAGGUUGAA